RNAcentral lists this ribosomal RNA (508 nucleotides) under uncultured bacterium. Its description in RNAcentral is "bacterial SSU rRNA". It matches the Rfam family "Bacterial small subunit ribosomal RNA", at positions 36 to 524 of the family's 1533-position model. The record is from RNAcentral.
CGACCUGGCGGCAUGCCUAACCAUGCAAGUCGUACGGAGAGUGGGGCAACUCACUCUCAGUGGCAAACGGGUGAGUAACGCGUGAAUAACCUGCCUUUGAGAAGGGGAUAACUGUCCGAAAGGAUAGCUAAUACCCUAUAUUGCCUUUUGUCACUAAGGCAAAAAGUGAAAGCGAGGCUGUCAAAAGCUUCGGCUCAAAGAGGGGUUCGCGUCCUAUCAGGUAGUUGGUGGGGUAAUGGCCUACCAAGCCAAUGACGGGUAGCUGGUCUUAGAGGAUGAUCAGCCACAGUGGGACUGAGACACGGCCCGCACCCCUACGGGGGGCAGCAGUGGGGAAUCGUGGGCAAUGGGCGCAAGCCUGACCCCGCAAUGCCGCGUGAGGGAAGAAGCCCUUCGGGGUGUAAACCUCUGUCAGAUGGGAAGAUGGAACUAGGGGCUAAUACCUCCUAGUCUUGACGGUACCAUCAGAGGAAGGGACGGCUAACUACGUGCCAGCAGCCGCGGUAAU